GUCCCCUACCCGGGGACCAUAUAUUAAAUUGAUUUUUGGAGCAGGGAGAUGGAAUAGGGCUUGCUCCGUCCACUCCACGCAUCGACCUGGUAUUGCAGUAUUUCUAGGAACGGUGC
RNAcentral lists this small nuclear RNA (116 nucleotides) under Maylandia zebra (zebra mbuna). RNAcentral describes it as "U2 spliceosomal RNA (ENSMZEG00005023083.1)". It matches the Rfam family "U2 spliceosomal RNA", at positions 67 to 185 of the family's 192-position model. From Rfam's summary of the family: U2 is a small nuclear RNA (snRNA) component of the spliceosome (involved in pre-mRNA splicing). The record is from RNAcentral. Lineage: Eukaryota; Metazoa; Chordata; Actinopteri; Cichliformes; Cichlidae.